UGAAAUGAGACAAUUCUACCAAAAAGCUUUGCCUCUGUAAUGCAAUCUGAUGGACAUCGAGGUUUAAGGCAUUGAAGCACUAUGAGGAGCUAUUUCCUAUUAUAUCCCAGAGACAGCUAGAUCAUUUCAGCAUGUGAUUUAGGUACUGCUGAAAAUACUGACAUACUGGCCUGUGGAGAGCAAAACUGAAGGACCAUUGGGAAAUAUGAACUAAAACUUCUUGAAAAAUAUUUAUCAUUUACUAGUUGAAG
Molecule: long non-coding RNA, 251 nt
Organism: Corvus hawaiiensis (hawaiian crow)
Lineage: Eukaryota; Metazoa; Chordata; Aves; Passeriformes; Corvidae
Exons: 4
Source: RefSeq, a predicted model, not a curated record